This 993-nucleotide small RNA is filed under the name Drosophila yakuba. Its description in RNAcentral is "GE27547". The record is from RNAcentral. Lineage: Eukaryota; Metazoa; Arthropoda; Insecta; Diptera; Drosophilidae.
GCCAGGACACGCGACCCGAGAAAGCGUCGAUUCAACCAAACAAAAACCAAGUGCCAAGUGCCGUGUGAAGAGGCCACAACCAACUAACUAACUAACUGCCUCCAGAAACUGUGCGAUUCAAACUAAGCCAAAAAUAAAUAUUAAAAGUUGCCAGUGCAUCAGUGCCCGGGAAAAGGACUUAAUGCAAACAGCAGGCGAAGUGAAUAAACCAUAAACAAAACCCCCGAAAAUAAACCAAAAGCAAGGCAAAAGCGAAAUUUAAGCGUCUGUGCAUAUUAAUCAGAACGAAAAACGUGAACAGGAUCAAGUCCUAGACAACUUAUCACAGGGGAUUUACGCAGACAGACAAACGCAGGACACGAAUGCGAGUGUAGAGCAAAAGGCAGCGCUAAUCAACGACCAAACCAGACGACAUCCUUACCGACUGGCCACGCCCACAACUCCCCCUCGAGUAGGAGAAAAAAGGCCACCAGGAGCUUGAGAGGAGAAGAGCAGGAGCCGCCUCAUUUGGCCACUGCGGAUUAUGUUAAUUAGAUUUUAAGCACGCGAUGACAACAACGCCGGGGGAGCACUUGGCAUUGUAAUGUGACAACAGUUGGCUAAGGACAACAAGACCAUACCAAAAGCGGGCCAUCAGGAGUAGCUGGAAUGCUCGCUUUUUAAUUGACAUUUGCUCGAGUUGAGUUGCGUUUUGUUCAACAGCAAUUAGCAUCGUGAAAAAAAAAUAAAUUAAAACAGAAAAAACGCACAGCAAAACACAAAGCAGCGCAAUUAAAAUUGUAAAACAAUUGCAGAACGCUGAAUUGAAAAGGGGAAACAAUAACAGACGACGACGACCCGGAAUAGAAUGAUCAAGUUGAUUUAAUUAAAAAUUCAGCAUCACCCCCAGCAUCCGUGUGCAAUGGCAUUUGAGCACGCUGCUUGAGCAAUGGCCGCCGGACCGGAAACGCAGCCAUUGCCCUCGGGCAACAUCCGCCUCUGACUGCCGCCGAC